GGAUAAAAGGCAGCAAAUAUUAGGGUGAAAGGACAAAAAGAAAAGGUAGACACUGUCAUCUGUCAGAAUUCAGAAGGCAAAACAUUAAAUAUAGAGUUAAUCUUAAUUUUGCAUUGCAUGAUAGAUGAAAUUUGGGUUCUUAUUGUUUAUCUGCUAAUGACAACAUCCUACAAGAAACCCUCCAAAUCCAAAAACAACAAAGUUCCAACUUCCAAUAACCUCAUUAGGAUAACUUGUGAAGCUCACAAAUUGGAUAAAAGGCAGCAAAUAUUA
RNAcentral lists this unclassified non-coding RNA (273 nucleotides) under Hevea brasiliensis (rubber tree). Lineage: Eukaryota; Viridiplantae; Streptophyta; Magnoliopsida; Malpighiales; Euphorbiaceae. The record is from RNAcentral.